GAGAGGCCCAAACGUUAUUCGGAAUUACUGGGCUUAAAGAGUUCGUAGGCGGUAUGGAAAGUAGGGUGUGAAAGCCCUCGGCUCAACCGAGGAAUUGCGCUCUAAACUGCCGUACUUGAGGAAGCUAGAGGUGAGCAGAACUGAUGGUGGAGCGGUGAAAUGCGUUGAUAUCAUCAGGAAUACCGGAGGCGAAGGCGGCUCACUGGGGCUUUUCUGACGCUGAGGAACGAAAGCCAGGGUAGCGAACGGGAUUAGAUACCCCGGUAGUCCUGGCCGUAAACGAUGAGCACUAGGCCGGAGGGCUGCACAGCUUUUCGGCCGUAGCUAAAGUGUUAAGUGCUCCGCCUGGGGAGUAUGGUCGCAAGGCUG
This 369-nucleotide ribosomal RNA is filed under the name uncultured bacterium. RNAcentral describes it as "bacterial SSU rRNA". It matches the Rfam family "Bacterial small subunit ribosomal RNA", at positions 527 to 896 of the family's 1533-position model. The record is from RNAcentral.